GGUAGUUUCUGUCUUUUCUGGAACUUGAAAGCAGCUUUUGUUGUGUGAGAAACCACAGUUUGGAUCAAGAUAAUGGAUUUCCAUUGUGCUCCACCGAAGGAAGUCAGUCAGGCCUGGAACAACAUGAGGAUCAAGACAGGAAGUGGAGAGGUUGUUGAUGGAUGGUCACACCAAGCUUUCGUUUCUCUUCUCAAAUAAGCCUAUAUUGUCUUGAAAGUUGUAAAGCCAUGAAAGGAGUUGGCGCCGUGGUGGAGUUUUCAACCUCCGCCUUGUCUGCUCAGAUCAUCAAAGCUUUCAAGAAAAAAACUGAAGACACACCUCUUCCACAAGAGCUGAACUACCACAACAAGAAACAAAGAAACUUACUGUAACUCCUAUUUAUGAAAAACAAUAUUUUGACAUUUCACUUCUAAUCCCGUUUGUGCACAAACUAUUUCUUAAAAUGAAUGGUUGAUCUCUAUAAUGGCAUGUCCAUCAAGAUUUAGGGAAGAAUACUGUAUGCCAUUCAGAAUUCCUCUUUAGUGUUUUUGUGUUCAUUUGAAAGGUGAAUCAAUGCAUCCAUGCAAAUAAAUAAAUAAACAUUACUGGUGUGCAUCUUGAGACAGAACAAUGGCAGCAUAGGUGGAAAUCACUGGGGGGGUCGGUGCAAAAAAUGUUUUAAGUUUAGAAACCUUUUGAGUCACCCCUCCCUUCC
This is a long non-coding RNA of Onychostoma macrolepis, 694 nucleotides long. RefSeq lists it as uncharacterized. The transcript is spliced from 3 exons. Lineage: Eukaryota; Metazoa; Chordata; Actinopteri; Cypriniformes; Cyprinidae. The record is from RefSeq and is a predicted model, not a curated record.